RNAcentral lists this ribosomal RNA (243 nucleotides) under uncultured bacterium. RNAcentral describes it as "partial 16S ribosomal RNA". It matches the Rfam family "Bacterial small subunit ribosomal RNA", at positions 1259 to 1500 of the family's 1533-position model. The record is from RNAcentral.
GAGAGUAAGCUAAUCUCUUAAAGCCGUUCUCAGUUCGGACUGUAGGCUGCAACUCGCCUACACGAAGUCGGAAUCGCUAGUAAUCGCGGAUCAGCAUGCCGCGGUGAAUACGUUCCCGGGCCUUGUACACACCGCCCGUCACACCAUGGGAGUCGGAAAUGCCCGAAGCCGGUGACCAAACCAAUAAGGAAGGAGCCGUCGAAGGCAGGUCUGAUAACUGGGGUGAAGUCGUAACAAGGUAUC